UACGUAGGGUGCGAGCGUUAAUCGGAAUGACUGGGCGUAAAGGGUGUGUAGGUGGAUAAGUAAGUCUGAUGUGAAAGGCCUGGGCUUAACCUGGGAGAGUCAUUGGAGACUGCUUAACUAGAGUGCGUUAGAGGGGGGUAGAAUUCCACGUGUAGCAGUGAAAUGCGUAGAGAUGUGGAGGAAUACCGAUGGCGAAGGCAGCCCCCUGGGAUGACACUGACGCUGAGUCACGAAAGCGUGGGGAGCAAACAGG
This 253-nucleotide ribosomal RNA is filed under the name uncultured bacterium. Its description in RNAcentral is "partial 16S ribosomal RNA". It matches the Rfam family "Bacterial small subunit ribosomal RNA", at positions 524 to 776 of the family's 1533-position model. The record is from RNAcentral.